This 65-nucleotide transfer RNA is filed under the name Dipodomys ordii (Ord's kangaroo rat). It matches the Rfam family "tRNA". From Rfam's summary of the family: Transfer RNA (tRNA) molecules are approximately 80 nucleotides in length. Their secondary structure includes four short double-helical elements and three loops (D, anti-codon, and T loops). Lineage: Eukaryota; Metazoa; Chordata; Mammalia; Rodentia; Heteromyidae. The record is from Rfam by way of RNAcentral.
GGUGGCUCAGUGGUAGAGCGCUUGCCUAACAUGCAUGAAGUCCUGGGUUCGAUUCCUCAGUACCA